UACGUAGGUGGCAAGCGUUAUCCGGAAUUAUUGGGCGUAAAGCGCGCGUAGGCGGUUUUUUAAGUCUGAUGUGAAAGCCCACGGCUCAACCGUGGAGGGUCAUUGGAAACUGGAAAACUUGAGUGCAGAAGAGGAAUGUGGAACUCCAUGUGUAGCGGUGGAAUGCGUAGAUAUGUGGAAGAACACCAGUGGCGAAGGCGACAUUCUGGACUGUUACUGAUACUGAGGCUCGAAAGCGUGGGGAGCAAACAGG
This 253-nucleotide ribosomal RNA is filed under the name uncultured bacterium. RNAcentral describes it as "partial 16S ribosomal RNA". It matches the Rfam family "Bacterial small subunit ribosomal RNA", at positions 524 to 776 of the family's 1533-position model. The record is from RNAcentral.